This 75-nucleotide transfer RNA is filed under the name uncultured Clostridium sp. Its description in RNAcentral is "tRNA-Met(cat)". It matches the Rfam family "tRNA". From Rfam's summary of the family: Transfer RNA (tRNA) molecules are approximately 80 nucleotides in length. Their secondary structure includes four short double-helical elements and three loops (D, anti-codon, and T loops). The record is from RNAcentral. Lineage: Bacteria; Bacillati; Bacillota; Clostridia; Eubacteriales; Clostridiaceae.
GGAGCUUUAGCUCAGUUGGUCAGAGCAUCCGGCUCAUAACCGGACGGUCCAGGGUUCGAGUCCCCGAAGCUCCAC